Felis catus (domestic cat) is the source of this 3512-nucleotide RNA transcript. It is a transcript of the gene named cilia and flagella associated protein 45, with no coding region annotated. Lineage: Eukaryota; Metazoa; Chordata; Mammalia; Carnivora; Felidae. The transcript has 11 exons. The record is from RefSeq and is a predicted model, not a curated record.
CCGGAGCCCGCGCGCUCUUGUUGCUAUGGUAACGCAUCAACAUCCAGCGCCCUGGUGGCAGUGUGGGCUUUGGAGGCGGCGGAGGCGCGCAGCCAGAGCCUGCGGCUGAGAUGCCGCUGAGCGCCGCUGGCAUCCUGAGUUCCUCUUCCACCACUUCCAACAGGUCGAGGAAUAAAACUCGCUAUCGGACCAAAGCCGUGAGCUCCGAGGUGGACGAGAGCCUCUUCGGAGGUGUCAAGCCUCUGACCCAGGACAACAGUCCUACCGUGCUGCUCCGAGAUAAGCACGCCAUUCGGAAGACUCUCGCUGCCCUGAGCUUGGACCACAAGCCGGAGACCAUCCAGGUCGUCACCCGGGACAUGGUCCGGAAACUCAUUGUUCCCGCCAAGGAUCCCUCGGGGGAGUCCCUCAUCAUGAGCCCUGAGGACUUUGAGCGCAUCAGGUGGGCGUCCCACGUCCUGAGCAGAGAAGAGCUGGAGGCCAGGGAGCAGGCCUUCCAGAAGGAGAAGGAGGCCAUCAUGGACGCAGUGGCCACACGUAAGAAGAUCAUGAAGCACAAAGAGAUGGUGUGGAGAACCAACAGGAAGCUCAGCGACCUGGAGGAGGCGGCCAAGGAGAGGGCCCAGGACCUGCUGCAGAGAGCCAGCCAACUGCAGGCCGAGCAGGAGGAGGAGCUCAGGGGCAUGAGCAAGAUCAUCCUCAAUGCCAAGUGCCAUGCCAUCCGGGAUGCCCAAAUCCUGGAGAAGCAGCUGAUUCAAAGAGAGCUGGACGCGGAGGAGAGGCGUUUGGAUCACAUGAUGGAGGUGGAACGGCAGAAGGCCAUUCAAAGGCAGGAGGAGCUGGACAGGAAGAGGAGGGAGGAGAGAAUCCGGGGCAGACGGCACAUCGUGCAGCAGAUGGAAAAGAACCGGGAGGAGCGGUCGCUGCUGGCGGAGCAGCGGGAGCAGGAGAAGGAGCAGGUGCUGGCGUCCAUGCAGCAGCUCCAGGAGGAAGAUCUGCGGGACAUGGAACGAAGGCACCAGGAAAAAUUGAAGAUGCAAGCCGAGAUUAAGCGCAUUAACGACGAAAACCAGAGACAGAAAGCAGAGCUGCUCGCCCAGGAGAAGCUGGCGGACCAGAUGGUGAUGGAGUUCACCAAGAAGAAGAUGGCUCGGGAAGCAGAGUUUGAGGCUGAGCAGGAGAGAAUCCGGAGGGAGAAAGAGAAGGAGAUCACCCGGCUGAGGGCCAUGCAGGAGAAGGCGCAGGAUCACCAGGCACAGCAGGACGCCUUGCGGGCCAAGCGCAACCAGGAGGUUGCGGACAGGGAGUGGCGCAGGAAGGAAAAGGAAAACGCGCAGAAGAAGAUGGAGACAGAGGCCCAACUGCGCCAGAGCCGGCUGGAACAGGUGGCCUUCAAGGAGCACGCUCUGGCCGUUCAGGUGCAACGGGACCGGGACGAUUUCGAGAGGAUUCUUCGGUAGGUGGGGCCGGGCACCCCGGCUUCCUUUCCUUGGCCUGCGGCAGGGAUGGCCCGCACUGGGGGGAGGACCCUGCUGGCAGGUGCACAGACAGAGGUGCUCUCCUCUUGCCCGGGACGGUGGAGCCAUUCUGAAUGGAUGGGUAGUUGAAAUGUUUCAAAGACAAGAAUGGGGAGCCGAGAGGUUUUUGUUUUUGGUUUUUUAUUGAACUCUUAAUGUUUAUUUAUUUUUGAGAGAGAGAGACAGAGCUUGAGAGGGGGAGGGGCAGAGAGAGAGGGAGACCCAGAAUCCGAAGCAGGCUCCGAGCUGUCAGCAUAGAGCCUGACGCGGGGCUCGAACUCAUGAGCUGUGAGAUCAUGCAUGACCUGAGCCAAAGUUGGACACUCCACCGACUGAGCCACCCAGGAGCCCCAGGAGCCAAGAAUUUUCCGAUUAGGGAUUUGGAAACCAGCACCCGGAGGUGUCUAAAGAAUUGGGUAUUAUUUGGAUUGUUUAUCCCGGAGGAUUAAAGGCGUAAGUAAAAGUAUACAUCUGGUCCCUCUGCCCUCCCCUGCCUCGACGUACCCCCGCUGGUUAGGGGUGAGGAUAAAGCAGACAGUGGGGGAGAAUACGAGGAACAGAGAGAGCUUCGGACACCAAGCUUGCUCCGCCGUGGGACAUAUUGGAGGUGAACAAAACACAGUCGUUGGCCAUCGCUGUGGGAAGGAUGUGAGCAACUCCUGCUUGGAUUGACCUCCCCUGUAUCCAUCUGUCUUUCCUGCCAGCUCGUCAUCCUUUUAUUUUCGUUGUCUUUUGUCUCCACGAUAAUUCCCACCUGUAAGUGGAAGUGAGGUGUUCACGACUGUCGCUCUCCCUGCCCGGCGUUCACCCCCAGAGCCGCCAGCCGUCACGGCUGCUCUGGCGGCAGUCGGGGUCACCUGCCGCCACCAGACCCCACCCCCUGGGCUAAGUGUUCUGGGCUCACCAGGAGUGACUCCUUUCUCGCUCUGGUUCGGACUCUGUGAUAGCAGCAGCUUUCAAAGAAACAAACCGAAUUGCGAUGGGGGUGUGGAUACGAGAUUACAGAAAUCGUGCUCCGGUGAGUAGAGACUGAGAGGUGCGGCCCGGCCUUCUCGUCUACCUGGUCUAUGUGCCAGAGGUCCUCCUUGAUAUUGACCCCAUUAGUUGCAUGCCAGACCCCAGGGCCCCCCGCCAGAGGCAGCGCAGAUCUGUAGGAAUCUCCGUCCUUGCCAGGGCCGGGGUCCUGGUCUUUUAUUGGACCCUGGGCCCCCCGCGCCUGCUCCCCCAGCCGCGGUGGCCUUUGCCUGCCCUCAAGGGUCAUGCCGUGGUCUCCGGAAGCCUGCCGAGGAAGGCAGCUUCCGUAAUGGCCCCGAAGAUUCUGCCCCUGGGCUCCAAACUACCUUUCAGAUGCCUGCCCUCACUGCCACAUGCCUUUAGCAGGCACUAAUAAAUAUUAAUGGAAAGAAAUUAAGGUCCUCCUUCUGCCCCUGACCCAUUUGUCCCUUCUUUGCUUUGUUUGCCUGAAGCAUAUGCACCAGCCAGUUAUUAAAGCGAGACCAGCCCCUCGGAGAUGUUCGGUCUCACCUGCUGUUCUGGGUUAGCAUCUAGACCUGGUGUCUCCAGGGCCACGUGACCACCAGGUCACAGGCCAGGUGUCUUCAAGUGCUAGGAAUGUCCCUGCCCGUAGCCAGCAAUGCAACUUUUCCUACUUCAAAGCAUGACCUUGUGGAUGGCCUCUACGCGGGCUUCCUGCUUCCGGACAGAGGGAUGCCUUGGACUCUCAGCUCACCGACUAGGCAGGGAGAGCUGACCUCCCCUCCCCUGUGGUGCUGAGAAUUGCCUUGGAGCUUUCAUCAAGUACUGUGGCCCGGGCUCCACCUCCACAGAUUCUGAUGUAACUGGUCGGGGGUGAGGCCCAGGCUCCAAGGGCACUGCCCUAACCCCGUGAAGUGACCAGGCUCUUCCCCACUCAGGUUUCUCACUGCCUGCCAGCCCAGGGGAUCUCCAGUGACACAAGCAGCUUCCCAUUUCCACCCUGUCUCGCAGGAUGGAAAA